GAGAUGCUAGUAGAACGCAAUACACUGCCUUGUCAAGGCAGAAUUGCAAGUUAGACUCUUGCGCAUCUUU
This 70-nucleotide transfer RNA is filed under the name Channa ornatipinnis. RNAcentral describes it as "tRNA-Asp". It matches the Rfam family "tRNA". From Rfam's summary of the family: Transfer RNA (tRNA) molecules are approximately 80 nucleotides in length. Lineage: Eukaryota; Metazoa; Chordata; Actinopteri; Anabantiformes; Channidae. The record is from RNAcentral.